AGCUGUUUAAUCGUGCUGUUAAGCGGCUUUAUAAACAGCUGAUUGUUUUUGAGAUUAACAUCACCUGUGGCCCUGACCUGUUCACCAUCAAGCGGGAUAUUAAGAUGCAAGUGACCACUUACAUCUCCACCAACCUGGAGUUCAUCCAGCGCUGCACCCAGCGUAUCCUUCAGCGGUGUCUGGUUGAAAUAGCUGCCGACGUCCGUCCCUGCACCACUGAUAUCGCCAUCAAUGAUCAGCUUUUCUUUCAGGUAGUCCGGAAUCACUGCUGAAAUAUUUUUGCCCUGCACAUUCCCCAGCAUGGUCCGAUCGGCUUUCAUAAACAGCCCGUCAUUAACAAAGUCCAGGUUAAUAUCCUGGUUCUCAAGAUCGGGCCAGCCAGGCUGGAACUGAUAGGUUGCCUGUUUCAGAGGCACA
Molecule: non-coding RNA, 417 nt
Filed under: Erwinia mallotivora
Lineage: Bacteria; Pseudomonadati; Pseudomonadota; Gammaproteobacteria; Enterobacterales; Erwiniaceae
Source: RNAcentral